RNAcentral lists this ribosomal RNA (484 nucleotides) under uncultured bacterium. Its description in RNAcentral is "partial 16S ribosomal RNA". It matches the Rfam family "Bacterial small subunit ribosomal RNA", at positions 28 to 523 of the family's 1533-position model. The record is from RNAcentral.
GAUGAACGCUGGCGGCGUGCUUAACACAUGCAAGUCGAACGGUGAACACGGAGCUUGCUCUGUGGGAUCAGUGGCGAACGGGUGAGUAACACGUGAGCAACCUGCCCCUGACUCUGGGAUAAGCGCUGGAAACGGCGUCUAACACUGGAUACGAGUAGCGGCCGCAUGGUCAGUUACUGGAAAGAAUUUCGGUUGGGGAUGGGCUCGCGGCCUAUCAGCUUGUUGGUGAGGUAAUGGCUCACCAAGGCGUUGACGGGUAGCCGGCCUGAGAGGGUGACCGGCCACACUGGGACUGAGACACGGCCCAGACUCCUACGGGAGGCAGCAGUGGGGAAUAUUGCACAAUGGGCGCAAGCCUGAUGCAGCAACGCCGCGUGAGGGAUGACGGCCUUCGGGUUGUAAACCUCUUUUAGCAGGGAAGAAGCGAAAGUGACGGUACCUGCAGAAAAAGCGCCGGCUAACUACGUGCCAGCAGCCGCCGUAA